CCUACGGGUGGCUGCAGUGGGGAAUAUUGCGCAAUGGGCGCAAGCCUGACCCAGCAACGCCGCGUGAAGGAAGAAGGCUUUCGGGUUGUAAACUUCUUUUGUCAGGGAAGAAUAAAAGACGGUUCCUGUCGGAUAAGCCAACGCUAACUACCUUCCAGCAGCCCCGGUAAUACGGAGGUGGCAACCGUUGUCCGGAAUUAAUGGGUGUAAAGGGCGGGUAGGCGGGUUGGCAAGUCAGAUGUGAAAUCCUGCGGCUUAACCGGAGAAGUGCAUUUGAAACUGUUGAUCUUGAGUGAUGGAGAGGCAGGCGGAAUUCCUGGUGUAGCGGUGGAAUGCGUAGAUAUCAGGAGGAACACCAGUGGCGAAGGCGGCCUGCUGGACAGCAACUGACGCUGAGGCGCGAAAGCGUGGGGAGCAAACAGGAUUAGAUACCCGAGUAGUC
This 442-nucleotide ribosomal RNA is filed under the name uncultured bacterium. Its description in RNAcentral is "partial 16S ribosomal RNA". It matches the Rfam family "Bacterial small subunit ribosomal RNA", at positions 338 to 795 of the family's 1533-position model. The record is from RNAcentral.